This 301-nucleotide ribosomal RNA is filed under the name uncultured bacterium. RNAcentral's name for it is "partial 16S ribosomal RNA". It matches the Rfam family "Bacterial small subunit ribosomal RNA", at positions 509 to 809 of the family's 1533-position model. The record is from RNAcentral.
CAGCAGCCGCGGGAAUACGAAGGGGGCUAGCGUUGCUCGGGAUGACUGGGCGUAAAGGGCGCGUAGGCGGCGAUCAAAGUCAGGCGUGAAAUUCCUGGGCUCAACCUGGGGGCUGCGCUUGAUACUGGGUUGCUUGAGUGAGGAAGAGGGCCGUGGAAUUCCCAGUGUAGAGGUGAAAUUCGUAGAUAUUGGGAAGAACACCGGUGGCGAAGGCGGCGACCUGGUUCAUAACUGACGCUGAGGCGCGAAAGCGUGGGGAGCAAACAGGAUUAGAUACCCCAGUAGUCCCUGUCUCUUAUAA